RNAcentral lists this unclassified non-coding RNA (924 nucleotides) under Hevea brasiliensis (rubber tree). The record is from RNAcentral. Lineage: Eukaryota; Viridiplantae; Streptophyta; Magnoliopsida; Malpighiales; Euphorbiaceae.
AAAAUUGAGAAUGUGAAUGGAAAACUGAAAGAAGAUGAAUCCAAAGAAAAAGAAGAUGAUGCAGUAGAAGUUGAGUUUAAGAUGUGGGAGAGCUGCAAGAUUGAAAAGAAAGAGUUUUCACCAGAAAGAGAACUGGAACAGGAAUCCUUUGAGGAUGAAGUGGAAUCCAAGGUAGAGGGUGGUGAGAGCUUCGAUCAGAUAAAUGGGUUAUCUUCAGCAGAAAAUGUUGAUGACGGUGGGAGCUCACCUUCAAAGCAGCAACAACAGAAGAAGAAGAAGCCUUUGCUCCGCAAGUUUGGAAGCCUACUCAAGAAGAAGAGUACUAGCAACCAGAAGUAGAAGAGACCAGUUACGGCCUGACUUAUGUCCAAUUAACAGGCAGAAUAUGAAAGUUCAGAAAAUUCUAAGGUGAAUUCACAUGGUUUAUCCUCCCUUCUCAUACCUCGACACUUUAGUCAACUUGAGAACCUGUCCAAAUGAAAACUGAUGAACUGUAGUCUGUAUAUUGCUUGUAUAAAACUUCUAUGCUGGUGAAAAAUGUGUUGGUGAAGAUCACUUUGAUUCACACUUUAAUCAGGAUUGUGGGCUUGGGUAUAUCCACUGCCAAAAUGUCUAGCAUAUCAGGCAACAAAUACCUUACUCUUGGCUCAUGCAGGCAAAACAAAACCUUUUGGGUUUCAGCAAUCACCUCAGAUAAUAGCCUACUUGCAUGGCAGAGGUGAUUCUAGAUGGUUUCAUCUUUGCAUAAAUGAAACCGUCGUGAUAAAAUUUUUAGAAUUGAGGCUAUUUCUUGAUAUUUGGUAUUUGCAUUUGAAGAAAGCAUGAAAUGCAUCCCUUAUUACCAGCAAAUUUGAGAUAAUCCCUGAACUUCUUGUGUGUACAUGUUUCUAUGUAUUGGAAAUGCCUAAUUUAUUUUCAGGCAUG